GUGAAGCCCACUUUGGAAUGCUCUAAAAAUCUCUCCAAUCAACUUUGAAAGCUUGGACAAGCAAGAAGAAUAAGAGAACUUACCACCAUCAAAAAUCUCUCCUCACCUCUUCUCUACCCUAAGAAAAAAGAAUACUUUAGAGAGUAAUACGAUAAAAACUCUUUUAGAAACACUUAAGUCCAAAUCCAACUAACCCAUUAUAUGAGUUUUGAAUCAA
Molecule: long non-coding RNA, 217 nt
Filed under: Elaeis guineensis (African oil palm)
Lineage: Eukaryota; Viridiplantae; Streptophyta; Magnoliopsida; Arecales; Arecaceae
Description: long non-coding RNA (EGUI_LNC035416)
Source: RNAcentral